RNAcentral lists this ribosomal RNA (373 nucleotides) under uncultured bacterium. RNAcentral describes it as "bacterial SSU rRNA". It matches the Rfam family "Bacterial small subunit ribosomal RNA", at positions 521 to 896 of the family's 1533-position model. The record is from RNAcentral.
UAAUACGUAGGUCCCGAGCGUUAUCCGGAAUUAUUGGGCGUAAAGGGUGCGCAGGUGGUUAUGUAAGUCUGGUGUGAAAUUUUUGGGCUCAACCCAAAAAGGUCAUUGGAAACUGCAUAACUUGAGAGCAGGAGAGGUAAGUGGAAUUCCUAGUGUAGCGGUGAAAUGCGUAGAGAUUAGGAGGAACACCAGUGGCGAAGGCGGCUUACUGGACUGUAUCUGACACUGAGGCACGAAAGCGUGGGUAGCAAACAGGAUUAGAUACCCUGGUAGUCCACGCCGUAAACGAUGAGUGCUAAGUGUUGCGGGUCAAACCGCAGUGCUGAAGUUAACGCAAUAAGCACUCCGCCUGGGGAGUACGACCGCAAGGUUG